This 499-nucleotide long non-coding RNA is filed under the name Suricata suricatta (meerkat). RNAcentral describes it as "lncRNA (ENSSSUG00005022815.1)". Lineage: Eukaryota; Metazoa; Chordata; Mammalia; Carnivora; Herpestidae. The record is from RNAcentral.
AUGCAGCAGCACGUGACCAAAUCAACGAACACGCCCAAGUGCAGCCUGUGGUUCCACACCAAUGAAAGAAGGGCAAGGUUUCCGUGGCAUGUGGCACCGGGCACCAGGCGGGGGCUCACGCCGUGGCACACGAAGGGCUGGACUUCAGGGCUGUGCGGCAGGGGAAGGAGGGCACAGCACAGCGGUCGGUUUGCAGGAUGGAGGCUUCGAUCUGAUGCGGGACCCCUGAGGGGCCAAGCCUGGACCAUGGACAAGUGUGAGCACUUGGGGAAAGGAAGUGGCCGGGAGCUGGAGGCAAGAGCCCGUCCCUUGACUCCCCCUCGAAGAAAUCCCCAGAGGCCAUUUCCUGGGUGCAGACCCCAGACUCCUCUCUCCUUGGCCAAGAAUCCAGAGGACGUGGGCCGCAGCCAUGUCCGUUGCUGGCAACUCUAAGGGGGCUCGCCUCCUUUCUCGGACAGCAGAGGCGCCGCUGGCAAGCUAAAGUUCUGGACGCCGAUUG